RNAcentral lists this ribosomal RNA (306 nucleotides) under Providencia rettgeri. RNAcentral's name for it is "partial 16S ribosomal RNA". It matches the Rfam family "Bacterial small subunit ribosomal RNA", at positions 1 to 305 of the family's 1533-position model. Lineage: Bacteria; Pseudomonadati; Pseudomonadota; Gammaproteobacteria; Enterobacterales; Morganellaceae. The record is from RNAcentral.
UAAUUGAAGAGUUUGAUCAUGGCUCAGAUUGAACGCUGGCGGCAGGCCUAACACAUGCAAGUCGAGCGGUAACAGGGGAAGCUUGCUUCUCGCUGACGAGCGGCGGACGGGUGAGUAAUGUAUGGGGAUCUGCCCGAUAGAGGGGGAUAACUACUGGAAACGGUAGCUAAUACCGCAUAAUCUCUCAGGAGCAAAGCAGGGGAACUUCGGUCCUUGCGCUAUCGGAUGAACCCAUAUGGGAUUAGCUAGUAGGUGAGGUAAUGGCUCACCUAGGCGACGAUCCCUAGCUGGUCUGAGAGGAUGAUC